This is a long non-coding RNA of Meleagris gallopavo (turkey), 1143 nucleotides long. RefSeq lists it as uncharacterized. The record is from RefSeq and is a predicted model, not a curated record. NCBI's taxonomy places the organism in Eukaryota, Metazoa, Chordata, Aves, Galliformes, Phasianidae.
GAAGAGUCAUGAAAAUUAAAAAACAUGGUUUUAAAAGAGUAAAAUAAUUUAAAAAAAACCCUACUUGUAUAAAUUUGUAAAACACCAUAAAUACCUUUAAUAUGUCCUAAUUGUGUGCUUACAGAUACUUUGAAAAGUGCUGCUGUUCACCUAUAAAAUACUGCUUCUCUAUUCAGGAAUGUGCUUCUUCCUUCUUAGAAGCUAUUACAUCACGUAACUGUGUAUGGUUACCAGAGCCAAGUAUGUAAAUCUUCACACAACGGAAUGCACACCCACGGAACCGAACUGCCAACAAAUUAGGACCAGUUGACCCAAUGACUAAGAGAAAAGCAGUAAAGGAUACAUAAAGAUAGUUGAUCAACAACUCUCAAAUGUAAAGGCUGUGACAGAAUCAUAAAGGUCAGAGUUAAAUCUCAUCAUUACAAAAUCAUCCAACGUAUUACUCUGACUUUCCUGAUACCUGUCCCUUCUCAUAAGACUUUAAAGAGUGUAGUACACAAGGAAGCUUUAUCAACUCAGCCUCUUACAGCAGCCUGGCCAACUAAAGAGUUCUUGGAUGAGUGGCUGAACCAAUGUGGGAAGAGGCAACAUCAUCACUCUGGAGUUCUUAAUCCUGUUAUUUCAAGAAAAUAAUUUCUUAAGAUGCUACAAGUUAAAGAUCUGCUUAAAUAAGAUGUUAAAACAUAGUCAUGUGGAACAGCCCACUCAGGUUAUUUUACCUGCUGCUGAAUGCUUACUUUGGAAGAUAGUCAAUAAUUUUAAAGGUAGCCCAAACAUCAUUCCUUUCCUUUUUUUUCCCUACCCAAUUCACCUGGAAAGAUCCUCCUUGCCUUUCACAUCUUUGACUUUUUUCAUAUAUAUAUAUACCCUAUAAAUUAAAAAGCAGAUUUGGCUAUAAGAGUUAGAAAGAUUUGACCACUGUAACACACAUUAUUGUAUCAACUAAUGACUUUCACACUGUCUCCAUCUGUUUUCUUUCCUGUGUCUCAGUGGUUUUGUCUAAUUCAUUCAAAAGAUGUUAAAAAAAAAAUCACUGGAGUAGGAGCAUGGGAAAACAUUUUAAAUAUGACUGCUCGUGACUUAACUGCACAAGAGUCCUGCCUACAAGAGCAAGUGGCAAUUAGAAGUUGUUGUAAUCCCCUA